AAAUAAUGAACCUCACUAUCGAAAUCUUUCAAAUCCAGAUUAAAAAAAAGAACACCCUAUAACGAAACAUCAUCAAAUCUUUUGAACGAGCAAUUAAACACGCGACCGGUAAAAAACUCGAAUGGUAACCUCGAGCACCAAACUGUUUCCCGGAUCUGAGCUUGACUGGACAACCUUGAAAGGAUGGUGACAAGAAUAGGACAAACGAUCAGAACUCGAUAGGCGACGGAUUGGACGAACCUUGCCGGAGAAACUCAAAUCUCGCCAAAAAAACUGACUAUGACAAAUACUUGUAGCCUAGAACUGGUACUCAACGUUUGAAUAUAGGCUACGUUGGUUGUAACCCGAAAUGGUAUUUGGUGUCGAAGCUCCAAAAUGGUGUUCUAUUACUGGAAAUGGAAAGGUUACUCAGAAAGGGGAGGGAGAUAGGCCUGAUGGCGGAUGAAGAUGGAUCAUACGUCGGAGAGGGUGUGUCUUCUGUUGGUGGCUGUUGGUUCGUUUCCGGCGAACUCGCCGGGCAUCGUCGAGGUGGUCGCUGCUUCCCUGGGGAUUAGGGUUUCGCCAUUUUGGGUUGAAGAUGGAGGAGUGUGUCUGUGUUAGCUCUAAGU
This 608-nucleotide long non-coding RNA is filed under the name Nicotiana benthamiana. RNAcentral's name for it is "long non-coding RNA (NBEN_LNC031378)". Lineage: Eukaryota; Viridiplantae; Streptophyta; Magnoliopsida; Solanales; Solanaceae. The record is from RNAcentral.